This is a non-coding RNA of Musa acuminata subsp. malaccensis (wild Malaysian banana), 1191 nucleotides long. Lineage: Eukaryota; Viridiplantae; Streptophyta; Magnoliopsida; Zingiberales; Musaceae. The record is from RefSeq and is a predicted model, not a curated record.
AUCCCGAAGAGAGCGACGAGAGGGAGAGGGAGAGGGAGAGAGGGAGAGGAGAUUCCAUUCGCAGCUCUCGUUUCAAUUCUUCUCCACUGUUACAAGCCGAACACAAAAACCCUAGAAGAAGCCAUCCCGAUGGCCGCCGUGCAAGAUCUCGACCUCCCGUUGGCUCCGGAUGCGCCUCCAUCCGCCGCCUCCUUGCCCCCUUCCGGCCGGACUCGGCGAUCUGUGCACCAUGCCCUCGGCGGCGGCGCUGUCGCCGAUGUGCUUCUAUGGAGGCACAGGAACGCGGCGGUUCUCAUGGCGGUCGGUGCCACGACGGUGUGGUUCCUCUUCGAGCGGGCCGGUUACAGCUUCUUGUCCGUCUUUGCGAACGCCAUCCUCCUUCUCGUGCUCAUCCUCUUCUUCUGGGCCAAAUCUGCCUUGCUCCUCAACAGACCUCUUCCGCCCCUUCCUAAUCUCGAGAUUUCGGAUGAGGUAGUAGGUAAGGCUGCCGACAGGGCUCGGGUGUGGAUCAAUCGGGUCUUGGCAAUUGGGCACGACAUAACCAUCCGGAGAGAUAGGAAGGUUUUCCUUCAGGUCAUUUUGGUUCUGUGGUUCAUCGCCUACAUUGGGAGACUGUUCAACUUCCUUACCCUUGUUUACAUAGGAGUCCUUCUGCCUAUCACACUUCCUGCUUUGUAUGACAAGUAUCAAGAUCAUGUUGAUGAAAAGUUUGGUGUGGCACAUGAUGCGGUCAUGAAGCAGUACGUGAGCAUCUUAAGCCGAAUACAGGCACAACCAACCAAAGAAAAGAAGACUCAAUAACAGAAUCACUGCUAUUCCGGUCCAAUCUUUUGCAUGACAUGCAUCAAAUCCAUUUGGAAGCCUACUUAAAUGACAAUGUUUGGCGUGUCUGCUAAAAUGAAGAUCUGGUGGCAUCCAUAUGCAUCGGCAACCAUUCCUAUCAGCACACUACCAUCACCUGUGUUUAUGGAUGUCAAUAUUAAUGAACCAAUUUAUGGUAUUUUCUGGUGGAGCUCUUGUUAUAGUCUUUUCUGGUAUGUUGAUCAAGUUGACUGUGAACUAAAAUGCCUUCUCAGUAAGCUGUGUUCAAAUCUUUCGUGUUAGAGCCAUCUAUGUCAUGGGAUGUUUGAUAAAUUCUUCGAUUUUAGAGCAAUCGAAUGGAGGCAUGAAUGUGUGUGCUUGUCUUCAAUA